This 658-nucleotide long non-coding RNA is filed under the name Capra hircus (goat). RNAcentral describes it as "lncRNA (ENSCHIG00000004983.1)". Lineage: Eukaryota; Metazoa; Chordata; Mammalia; Artiodactyla; Bovidae. The record is from RNAcentral.
AGUCCAAAUUCUAACUCUUGUGAAACUGCAGACACAACCCUCUGAGGGAAGCGGUGGUUUUGUUUCUGGUUGUUCUGUAAUUGGUUUUGGGAUUUGGAGCAAGAGAAGCCACUAAUACAAACACUGAAACAUAAUAAUUCUGGUUUCUUGGGAUAUAGGCAUAAUCACGUAACAAGAUUUUCGUAUUACUGGGGACUAGGAAAACAUUUGGCUUAUUGCGUGACAAUCAGAUACUUGGUGAAAGAAGACACAUGAUUAUCUACUAAUAUACUAUGAUCUGUCGUGAUCUGCUGUAUAUCAUAGGAUUCAAAGAAGAAGGAGGAAGAGAUGGAGAAAGAGAAGAUGAACCCAGUCCUCAAGCAGUUGCCACCAAGUAGGAGGCUUGUUGAGACAUUGCAUGAGCAGAGGAAGAAGCUUCCUUUCUAAGGGCAGCAAGAUCUCUCAUGGUGGCCGGUCUCCCUCAUCCUUCUGGCUCAGCAAGGUUUGGCUGCCAUGUGGAGGGAGGAGCAGUCCAGUUCUGUGGCGUAGUAAGAGGCAAGCAGUCUUCAGAUGGAUGCUGGCCUUCUGCACAUUGCUGGACUUCAGUGGAAGGAGGCUUGUAAUCAGGAGUAACUACUGUACUCUCCAUGCCUUCCUGAGCUCCCAGGCAACCGUCUGA